Molecule: long non-coding RNA, 712 nt
Filed under: Brachypodium distachyon (stiff brome)
Lineage: Eukaryota; Viridiplantae; Streptophyta; Magnoliopsida; Poales; Poaceae
Description: long non-coding RNA (BDIS_LNC000208)
Source: RNAcentral
UUGGUGUGGAAGAUGCAGAUGCUAAGAAUGAUGAUGACACCAAGGCAGCAGAACAGGAGGAUGUAAAAAUGGCUGUUGUAGGGGAUACUGAUGCAAAAGAAGAUAAUGACACUGAAGCAACAGAAUGUGAGGAUGUCAAAAUGGGUGUUGUGGAUGAUGCUGAUGCAAAUGAAGACAACAAUGGCAAGGCAGCAGAACAUGAGGAUGUCAAAAUGGGCACUGUGGAGGAUGAAGAUACAAAUGGAGAUAAGGAUGCCAAGGCAGCAGAAAACGAGGAUGUCAAAAUGGCUGCCGUGGAGGACGAAGAUGCAAAUGAAGGUAGUGAUUCCAAGGCAGCAGAACAGGAGGAUGUCAACAUGGGCGGUUUGGAGGAUAAAGAUGCAAAAGAAGAUAACAAUGCCAAGGCAGCAGAAUGCGAGGAUGCUAAGAUGGCUGAGGCUGAGGCAGGAGAUGCAGAGGUCAAAGAUAAAGGACACAAGGAAGAAAAAUAUGCGAACAAGGAACUGAAAGAUGGAGAACAUAGUGGUUCUGAGGGGCAGGAUGGAGGAAAUGAGCAAGUAAAGAAUGAUUCAGCUGAGCAUGACAAAAAGAAGGCAGAAGAAACGAGUGAUAUUAAGCAUGCGGAAGAGGAAGCAGAAGAAAGUGGGUCUGCUGAUAAGAAAGAUGAAGGAGGGGAUGGAAAGGCAAAUGCGGAUGAAGAAAAGCAAGAAAA